GACGAACGCUGGCGGCGUGCUUAACACAUGCAAGUCGAACGGUGAACUCCGCUUGCGGGGGGAUCAGUGGCGAACGGGUGAGUAACACGUGGGCAACCUGCCCUCAGCUCUGGGAUAACUCCAAGAAAUUGGGGCUAAUACCGGAUAUGACCGCUGACCGCAUGGUCUGGUGGUGGAAAGAUUUAUCGGCUGGGGAUGGGCCCGCGGCCUAUCAGCUUGUUGGUGGGGUAGUGGCCUACCAAGGCGACGACGGGUAGCCGGCCUGAGAGGGUGACCGGCCACACUGGGCCGGAGACGCGGCCCAGACUCCUACGGGAGGCAGCAGUGGGGAAUAGUGCGCAAUGGGCGAAAGCCUGACGCAGCGACGCCGCGUGGGGGAUGACGGCCUUCGGGUUGUAAACCUCUUUCAGCAGGGACGAAGCGAAAGUGACGGUACCUGAAGAAGAAGCACCGGCCAACUACGUG
Molecule: ribosomal RNA, 465 nt
Filed under: uncultured bacterium
Lineage: Bacteria
Description: partial 16S ribosomal RNA
Rfam family: Bacterial small subunit ribosomal RNA
Source: RNAcentral